This is a long non-coding RNA of Trichechus manatus latirostris (Florida manatee), 4010 nucleotides long. RefSeq lists it as uncharacterized. NCBI's taxonomy places the organism in Eukaryota, Metazoa, Chordata, Mammalia, Sirenia, Trichechidae. The transcript is spliced from 3 exons. The record is from RefSeq and is a predicted model, not a curated record.
UAGGGUUUCCAAGGUUGUAAUCUUUAUCGACGCAAACUGUCACAUCCGGUGGGUUCAAACCACUGACCUUUCCGUUAGCAGCUGAACAUUUAACCACUGCACCAUCAGGGCUCCUUAUGUAUAUACUAGGAUUGAGCAAAUAAAAGGAUAAUUGUGGAUAAUGAGAGCCAUGUUUUUCGCUGUCAGAGAAAGGAGUUUCAAAUGAGCAAAGAAAGAAGUCUAGAAUAAAUCUGUGGUGUUGGACUGGAAUUGGAAAUGUCAGUAUGAAUUUAUAGUUUUUAACAUAUAUAGAUUGAUAUAAAAUAUAUGAAUAUAAAAAUAUGAUAUAGAUGUUUAAGUUACAUUUAUUUCCCAGCUGGCAACUAAGAGGGUCUAGAAACAAUGACAUCCCAUAGCAUGAGCACACCUAACAUCCAGAUGUCGACUUAUAAAUACUGUUCUCCAAUAAAAGGAAUCAGGGCUCCUUGCAUAAACGGUUGAUUUCAGGGUUAGGGUAGGGAAGUUACAAGUUGAUCCUGGAACAUCUUUGGUGCCAGAAAGUAAGGAAGUGCUUAAAAACAAUAACGGCAGGUUGAAAGGACAAAAGAACCAACAUGAAGGAGCUUCCAAUAGCCAAAUCUAGGACAAUCUGAGCAACACAAUAAAAAGAGUAAUAAUGACUAAUAAUCUACAGAAUAAAAUAAAUAUCCAUGGGUUCACAGUGAUAUAAAUAACUGGAUAAAUAAGCAGGGGAGGAGGGAUAGAUUUUCCUUACAGUAGAAUUCCAAUUAGUAAAUGUAGAAGGAAUGAUGGAAAUAGAAAAAUUACCAUUUGGCAAAUACCACAGUAAUAAAUAUUGCAUGCAAAAAUCACUAAUGGGUACUAAAAUCAGUGUGCGAAGGUAUAAUGUAAAACAGGAUAUUUGCACAGUCUCCUAGUAUCUCCCAACCAGACACUUACUAAUUACAAAGGGAAAGAUAGUAACUUUAUAGUAACCUGGCAGAACCCCUGCUUAACCAACUGAUCCAAGUUAACAUCAGUUAACUAAAUUAACAAUAAGAGGUCAACAUCAUGUACCAGCUGAUAAUGAUUAACUGAGAAAGGCACAAUACAUUGUAUUUUUCAAAACCUGCAUAAUCUCAAUCUAAUCAUGGGGAAACAUCACACAAACACACAUUGAGGGACAUGCUAGAAAAUAAUUGGCCAGUAGUCUUCAAAUGUGUCAGGGUCAUGAAAACCAAAGACUGAGGAGCUGUUAUAGAUUGGAGGGGACUAAGGAGACAUGCCAAGUAAACACAAUGUUGGAUCCUGGACCAGAAAAAGGAAAUUAAUUUGACAAUUAGUGAAAUUCAAAUAAGAUCUGCAGAUUUGUUAACAGUACUAUAUCAACAUUAAUUCCUGAUUUUGACAGGCAAAAUGUUAACAUUAGGGGAAGCUGGGUGAAGGGGAUAAGGGAACUCUCUGUACUAGUUUUGCAACUUUUCUGUAAGUCUAAAAUUAUUUCAAAACAAAAAGUUAAAAAAAAAAAAGCGACUCCCAUCAAAAAUAUUAACUUAGUUUGUCUCAAUUCAAAGUCGCCUCCUUCUACAGUGGUUGUUUUGUGGUAGUGUCUAUAAUUGGGAAAAAGUUUUUCCUUUUAAUUUUAAUUGACAAAAACAUCCGGUUUAAAAAUACAUAUUGUAAACUAUUUAAUUUGGGGGUCACUAUAUCAUAGGAAAAAACUCCUACUUUUGCAUACAUCUGAGAACUUGCAUAAUAAACAUUUAAAAUACUUGUAGAAAAAAAUUAAAAAGUUGUAGGCAAACUGCUUAAGUGCUUAUUAAUAUACUAAAGAUAAUUUUCUAUCAUCCUUAUAACUUUCAUAAACACUUAGAAUUAUAUUAUGGAAUUUUUAAGGCUAGUAAUAACUCAGAAAUCAAGAGGUCCAACCCUGCCUCACUGGAUAGGAAGGAAACUAAAACCCAGAGAACCCAACUAGUUGCUGUUGAGUUGAUUCUGACUUACGGCAACCUAUGUGUUGCAGAAUAGAACUGUGCUCUACAAGAUUUUCGUGGCUGUGACCUUUCAGAAACUGAAUGCCAGGUGCCUCUGGGUGGGUUCGAACCCCCAACCUUUUGGCUAGCAGCCAAGCACUUCACCACUGGUGCCACCCAGUGAAUCCCAGAGAGGGGAGGUCUAAUUAGUUAGCAGAGACCAGAGGUGAGCCUAGAACCCCUACCUCCUGACUCUUGUUCUGGAGCUACUUCUCCCACAUUAGAUAUCUGAGCUCUUCUUUAUCCCAAAGCUUAUCAUGAACAAUUACCUAAACAUCUCAACUGCAACAGUAUAGUAACAGUAUUUAUAGAUACUUCCAAAAAAAUUACCAACUAAAUUAGAAUAAAUUUGCUGCAUUCAUGAAAAAUGAAAUAUGGGUCCAGUAAUACAUAUAACAUUAAAAAUAAACUAUUGUAGUUUACUGUUUUAAAUGAUCUCUUUAUUUUAAUUAGGUCUUUUAUCUAAAAGUUCAUGUUCCCAUCCUUGUUUAGUGAUUCGACUUUUUUCUUAAUGGAAGCUUUUCUUGCAACUCUCAUUCUAGAAGGACUUCCGCUGAGUAAUGGCACCUCCCAAACAUUUACCCAUGCAGAAAGCCUCUACUGAAUGCCAGAUGUUGUCAGGCACUGCACAUGAUGCUGGGCACAUAAUGAUAGACAGUGAAUAAGUGGCAGUGGAAAAAACCAUAAUUAAGAUAUCUUGCAUCAGAUUAUCCCACUAACAGGAGAGUUUUCAGAAAGAAGAGAAAAAAGAAUAUAGGAGCUGGCUGCUUUGUCUGAAGCACAAAAAGUCAAAGCAGCAUUCUUUCUAAGCACCACGGAUGUCUGGGCCACACAGGCUUUCAGCUUCCUAUAACUAAAGCACGAAAGAAAGAAAGCACAAAGAAGGAAGUACGCCUAGGGCACGUAACAGAACACAAUACAAACUGAGCUUAAUUUUUAAAAUCUCCAUGUAAGAAUGGACUGGAAAGCCCUCCUUUACUUUCAACCCCAGGCCCCCCUCAAACUUCCAAAUAUAAUAACAGGAGUAGUUCUCUAUUUUUAGAUAAGAUAUACAUUUUUAAAACGAUGAAUAUGUGCAGAAACACAAUAAAUACAGGCUAUUUAACCAUUGCCUUCGAGCAGAUUCCAACUCAUAGCGACCCUACAGGACAGGGUAGAACUGCCCCAUAGGAUUUCCAAGGCUGUAAUCUUUACGGAAGCAGAUUGCCACAUCUUUCUCCCCAAGGAGCAGCUGGUGGGUUAAAACCCCGACCUUUCGGUUAGCAGCUGAGCACUUAACCAAUGCACCACCAGGGCUCCUUAAUAUAAACUAUGUAUCCAUACAAAACUGCAUAUUUUAUUUAUUCACCUACUUUCCCGAAGGUAAUUUCCUUCCUCCACACUGGGGUGAGGAAUGGGGAGAUGAAGAAAAAUACUCCUAUACACACUCAUACACUUAUUUUUCUCCUUUAAAAAAGAAAUCAGUGGCAAAAACAGACAGAAUUAUAUUAACAGACGAGUUAGCCAGUCUUAACUCUUUCUUUUUUUCCUCCUUAAUCCUCCUACUACCUUCCCCUUAACCGAGUACGCCUUUCACAUUUCCAGCGCACUCCCGAAAUUCUGAGUCAAGCCUCCGACAGUGAUUGCUGACUGCCGAGUUAGUUCUCCAUGGACCAAAGGCUCUUAGAUGUCUCGACAUGAAGACAGGAGAGGAAAGGAAAAUCCUAAAUGGAACAGUAGCCUUUUAGCUACAAAGUAUUUCCUCCUUUAUCGUAUCUCUUAGAUACACACAAUGUUUGGGUAAACUCGUUUUUCUUCUCAGUACAAGUAAUUAUUGAAGAAAGCAAAGUCAAUACACCAAAUUAAAAUAAGCUUCGUCUCUCACUGCUUACUUGGUUGAGUUGUUGUUGUUGUUAGUUGCCAUUGAGUCGAUUCUGACUCAUGGCGACCCCAUGUGUUGGGUGAGUUACUAUUCUCAAAUAAGUAGGAGGCAAACAGUUAUAUAAAGAUUAAAAAAAA